Lonchura striata (white-rumped munia) is the source of this 3443-nucleotide non-coding RNA. The record is from RefSeq and is a predicted model, not a curated record. NCBI's taxonomy places the organism in Eukaryota, Metazoa, Chordata, Aves, Passeriformes, Estrildidae.
UCUGCCAGAAGUAACAUUGUCUUCAUGUUUCUGUCCCCCAGAGGGUUUCAUCUCCACUUGUACAUUCUUGUCACUGCUCGACAGGAUGUUGAAUGUGGAUCUGCUGCUUUGGGCGUGUUUAAAUAAGAAGUGACUGCACUUCGCUUUGAGAAUAUUUCAGACUUCCUGAAGAAACUGGGAAGUGCCAAUGGAGUGCCCAGGCUCAGAACACACCAUGGCCCAUCAACAAAGCUGGGAAAUCAGCAGACACGAUCACAUUUGUGAACACUUUGCCAAAAACAGAAGGAGGAGAGGAGGGGAUGAUGAAAAAAUACAAAUCUUCACUCUUCUUGUUAGCUUCUGGGUGAAAAGAUUUGUGAUGGAAAAUACAGCUCUUCAAAGAUUUCUAGUAUUGACAGAGGAGUUUGAGAGGAAUAAAGCAUACACAAAUUAUCUGGGCUCUUCGAAUUCAGAGGGACAGCGCGAUCCAUCCGAGGCUCCCAUCCAUCUGGUGAGGCACAGACAGCCGCUGACAUCGGGGCAGUGAAAAUGAGCAAAUUAAAGACCGUAACUGGGAUGUUUACAGCAGCAACAUGGUGAACAAACAGAUAAGGAUGAUGUGGAAAGCAAAAGGUCACUGGACUUCAAGGACAAACUCAUGGGAAAUGAAUCCACUGAGAUUGCUGAAACUGUGUCUGGCCCUGGAUGUCUGUGCUGGAGGAGGGGGCAGCACACAGGGCCAUGGGAGGCAGCAGAAGCAGAACAUCAGUCUGCCACGUUCUUAUGGAAACCUGGUACCUGAUGUGGAGAGAGCACUGGGAAUGGCAUUCCUGUCUCAUUUUUGUUCUGUCUUGUUUGAAGGCCAGACUUCCUUGAAUAGACACAAGCUCUUAGAAUGAACAGCUCCUGGAUUUCAUUUCUGCUGCAGACCUGACUGCCACUCUCGGUAGAAAGGGAAAUGAAUCUCAGCUUCUAAUUUUCAUCUGUCUUCUAAUUUUCCCUAAUGCAGGAUUUCUGCUCUUCUCCCCAGAGCUUGCACAAGCUGAACAGUCACUGAAAGGCAAAGGUCAGACAAAGCAAAGACAGAUCACAUCUACUUCAAAUACUGUUUGCCCAACUAUAAUUAGAAAUUAUGAUUGAAAACAGUGAGAUCUCUGCUCUUACAGUUAUCUUCAUGAAACUGUCCACUGGGUGACUAUGUUAAAGAAACGAAGAAUGAACAGGGAGAAAAGAAAAUCCAUACCGAAAGUCAAACUCUUCUCUCUGGGAAAGCCUUGGGGCACCGACCUGUGCCUCCAGUGAGGUACAGGUGAGAUCUCUGUGCGCUGCAGCCCAUGUUCCACGCUCUUCCAGUUUUUCCACCCAGAUGUUUGUACCUUCCAAAUCUGUUUUACUGAGGAAUAUCUUUGGCCCCAACAUGUACAGAAAAAGAAAGGCCAGAAGCAACAACGAUGAUGGUCUGGUCCUACUGCAAAGCAAAGCCCACAGCUUCCCAGUGCUUUCUCCACCAGCACCCUAAAUUCUGCUUAAAUUACCAUUUUUAUUGAAAACCCAAUGCUUAUUAAAGGCUAUGCAAUAGAAGAUCCAUUGGGUGCUUGGGAACUGAAGUACCCAAAAAUUGAGAUAAAAUAUGAAAACCCUUUGUCAUUGAGCAAAUCUUCAUCCUGUGAAGGAGAAAGUGUCAAAAUAUCCAUUGGCUGUACCUGAUAAAUGUAUUGCUGAACUGCUGAGUGGCCCUGGUCUGGAGACAGGAGAGGAAUCCAGGUCUUUGAAGACCCAAGCACUAUCCAAUGAGCUCUGCUCCCAAAACACUGGCUGGUCUGAGCUUUUAUCAAAUCUAAGUGUUCUUUAACUCCUGCUGACAAGAGCAAUCUGAAUCCUCAGAGGUCUUGAGUAAAGAGGAAACCUGCAGGGACCAGGUUAAGUUGAAAGACACAGGCCAAGCUGAAGUGAGAAUUUAUUUCCUGAAGAAAACAGAUUUAAUGUGAAAGGUGAUCCUCAAAAGCUUCACAGCUCCAGUUGCCUUGGAUAAGCACCAAGAAAAGCAGCUGCUGCUCCAAGUGAGUCUCCCACAUCCCUGAGAGCUGAGGACCACAGAGGAGGAACAUUGUGCCCCUCUCUUCAAGGACAGUGCCCAUAUUAAAGUACUAAAGGAGGAUUCAUGUGAAAACCAUUAAACCCAGGCUUUCAGUUCUUCAUUCUGCAUUGCACUGUGGUUCAGAAUCUGCCCAGCAGAGCCUUCAGUUCCUGCCCCUCACUAAUUAUACCUGUAAUUACCUUUAACUUUGCAAUCCUGACUCUCAUAACACCAGACAUUUCUACACUUCAUCAUGUUUGUAGGAAAAACAACAACAAAAACAAAAGAAACAAUAUUAGCAAAAUAUUCACCAUCUUUUAGACCACUUAAAGGAAUAUAGGAAUGUUUGUUGGAAAUUUAAGACUGUUAUUACAUUUAUUCUUAAAUUAAUGAGUGCAAAAAUAGCGGGAGGACAGAGUGAGUAAGUAGCUUAUUGUUUGGAGUGCUGAGAGCAGCCUAUAAGGAUGUUGUGCUGAGAAUACUCUCCAACGUGAAAAAGAGACCCACAGGCAAACAGCUAUUAUCUCAAGUAAUCUUCAGUGAAGAGGAUGUGCCUAUGAAAUAACUUUUGGAGACCUUGUGUAAUUCAAUCCCUCAACCUUUGCUCACCAAGCUACUAGAUCAGAAGAGAAAUGUUCAUAAACCCUUUUGAAGUGCACCAAAACAUAUGGAAUAUGGUGACUGAAGGAGGGGUUAGUGUGUGACCUAAUGAUGAGAUGAACAAAAGAGGGAAAAAACAUUGCACCACCUUUUUGCAAGUUCCAUUUAUCCAUGAAAUAAAAAUUGCAUUUGUAUUUGCAUUUCCAUUACACAGAAUUGCUAUCUUCUGACUUACCAGCACAAUGGUAUUGUUUUAUUUAUUUAAACUGGAUGGUUUGCUUUCCACAGUAUGACCAGCUGUGAGAAAAAUGGGAUUCAAUAAUGUGAACAUUUCACAGUAAAUAAAAUGCAUUAAUACAACAAUAUAAAAGCUGUGCUCAGCAGUUUCCCUAGGACAAAGUCUGUUCUAGAACUAUGCAUCAAGCUUUAUAAACACUUGGAGAACUAUAAAGGUUACAUCUUAUUGUGUGAAGUAAUACAAAAAUAUAUAUAGAAUUUCUGCUUAGGAUUCUGCUAACUCACAUCUCCCCAUUUAAAAAGUUACAUGUUUAAUUGCCUGGUUUCAAGCAGAAUAUUUCUGCAUCUCUAUUUCUUGCUCAUAUUCACUACUGCAAGCUUCUCUUUAAAAUCUUGCUGUGACUCAUUCUUGAAGGAAAGAAAACAGUGAAGUCAUGUCUUAGUUUGAAGGGUAGCAAAACCAAAAUGAAAAUGAAAACACUUACCUGCUUUUAAUGCUCCCAGUCAUCCUUUUUCUCCUUGACUACUUAGUAACAUCUGCAAUCUUUCU